ACACCCUGGACUUUGAAUCCAGUAACGCAAGUUCGAAUCUCGCCGGGACCU
Molecule: transfer RNA, 51 nt
Filed under: Angiostrongylus costaricensis
Lineage: Eukaryota; Metazoa; Nematoda; Chromadorea; Rhabditida; Metastrongylidae
Rfam family: tRNA
About the family: Transfer RNA (tRNA) molecules are approximately 80 nucleotides in length. Their secondary structure includes four short double-helical elements and three loops (D, anti-codon, and T loops). Further hydrogen bonds mediate the characteristic L-shaped molecular structure. tRNAs have two regions of fundamental functional importance: the anti-codon, which is responsible for specific mRNA codon recognition, and the 3' end, to which the tRNAs corresponding amino acid is attached (by aminoacyl-tRNA synthetases). tRNAs cope with the degeneracy of the genetic code in two manners: having more than one tRNA (with a specific anti-codon) for a particular amino acid; and 'wobble' base-pairing, i.e. permitting non-standard base-pairing at the 3rd anti-codon position.
Source: Rfam by way of RNAcentral